ACCUUGUUGUCACAGUAGGCAGCGCAUCAGUCUCAUAAUCUGAAGCUUGUGAGUUCAAGCCUCACAUGGGGCA
Danio rerio (zebrafish) is the source of this 73-nucleotide non-coding RNA. The record is from Rfam. NCBI's taxonomy places the organism in Eukaryota, Metazoa, Chordata, Actinopteri, Cypriniformes, Danionidae.